This 491-nucleotide ribosomal RNA is filed under the name uncultured bacterium. Its description in RNAcentral is "partial 16S ribosomal RNA". It matches the Rfam family "Bacterial small subunit ribosomal RNA", at positions 29 to 507 of the family's 1533-position model. The record is from RNAcentral.
GUGAACGCUGGCGGUAGGCCUAACACAUGCCAGUCGAACGGCAGCACAGUAAGAUCUUGCUCUUACGGGUGGCGAGUGGCGGACGGGUGAGGAAUACAUCGGAAUCUACUUUUUCGUGGGGGCUAACGUAGGGAAACUUACGCUAAUACCGCAUACGACCUACGGGUGAAAGCAGGGGAUCUUCGGACCUUGCGCGAUUGAAUGAGCCGAUGUCGGAUUAGCUAGUUGGCGGGGUAAAGGCCCACCAAGGCGACGAUCCGUAGCUGGACUGAGAGGAUGAUCAGCCACACUGGAACGGAGACAAGGUCAAGACGCCUACGGGAGGCAGCAGUGGGGAAUAUUGGACAAUGGGCGCAAGCCUGAUCCAGCCAUACCGCGUGGGUGAAGAAGGCCUUCGGGUUGUAAAGCCCUUUUGUUGGGAAAGAAAAGCAGCAGGUUAAUACCCCGCUGUUCUGACGGUACCCAAAGAAUAAGCACCGGCUAACUUCGUG